RNAcentral lists this ribosomal RNA (281 nucleotides) under uncultured Staphylococcus sp. Its description in RNAcentral is "partial 16S ribosomal RNA". It matches the Rfam family "Bacterial small subunit ribosomal RNA", at positions 81 to 354 of the family's 1533-position model. The record is from RNAcentral. Lineage: Bacteria; Bacillati; Bacillota; Bacilli; Caryophanales; Staphylococcaceae.
CUCCUUUGACGUUAGCGGCGGACGGGUGAGUAACACGUGGGUAACCUACCUAUAAGACUGGGAUAACUUCGGGAAACCGGAGCUAAUACCGGAUAAUAUUUCGAACCGCAUGGUUCGAUAGUGAAAGAUGGUUUUGCUAUCACUUAUAGAUGGACCCGCGCCGUAUUAGCUAGUUGGUAAGGUAACGGCUUACCAAGGCGACGAUACGUAGCCGACCUGAGAGGGUGAUCGGCCACACUGGAACCGAGACACGGUCCAGACUCCUACGGGAGGCAGCAGGG